UGAUGUAUGUCAACAAAUGUUGAUAACAGUUUAAAAAAUAUUGUGCAUGAACUUAUAUGGGUUUUAAAGAUGAGUUGUUUAUCUACCUUCCGGAAGACAUAUAGGAGCUCCCGGAGUUCUUAUGCUUUGUCUAUCCUAAAUGUGGAGUUAUUGCUAGUUGAGUUCUUGGUCAUCAAUGGAAAAGAGGCAAAUCUGAAUAGAGUUUCUGGAAUUCUUGCUCUGCUUUAAUAGUUGUAGUCAUUUUUUCCCUCCUUCAUCUUUAUUCUCAACUUGUGGAUUUCCUCUAGUUUAGUUACGUAAAAAAUCACAAUAGCACAUUAUUCAUUAUAUAAGAUUGCGGUGACUCACCACAUGAUUUUCCUGAUACUACAUAAAAUUGUUGGCCAUCCACAAAGAGUCAUCGUAUCUUAGAUAAUUUAACUUAGUAUUAGUUUUGUCGUUUGAAGGGAAUAUUUGUGUAUAGCCAAAGCUCGAGUUACACUAAGUUAGACAUGUUUAUAUCUCAUAGCGUCAUGUCUCGGUAUUACCUGCUUCUAUGACAUUUUAGCAUCUUCCCAUAUUUGAUUCAUCAUUACCACCGAAUCAAUUGUCCAGUACCACCUCUUG
Molecule: long non-coding RNA, 606 nt
Filed under: Setaria viridis
Lineage: Eukaryota; Viridiplantae; Streptophyta; Magnoliopsida; Poales; Poaceae
Description: long non-coding RNA (SVIR_LNC002692)
Source: RNAcentral